GGAUGUGAGGGCGAUCUGGCUGCGACAUCUGUCACCCCAUUGAUCGCCAGGGUUGAUUCGGCUGAUCUGGCUGGCUAGGCGGGUGUCCCCUUCCUCACCGCUCCAUGUGCGUCCCUCCCGAAGCUGCACGCUCGGUUGAAGAGGACGACCAUCCCUGAUAGAGGAGGACCAUUCUUCGGUCAAGGGUAUAUGAGUAGCUGCGCUCCCCUGCUAGAACCUCCAAACAAAAAAUGAGGGAUGAGAGCAUGGCUCAAGUGGUAGAGCACCUUCCUAGUAAGCACAAGGACCUGAGUU
This 294-nucleotide small nuclear RNA is filed under the name Castor canadensis (American beaver). RNAcentral describes it as "7SK RNA (ENSCCNG00000015144.1)". It matches the Rfam family "7SK RNA". From Rfam's summary of the family: 7SK was discovered as an abundant small nuclear RNA in the mid-70s but a possible function has only recently been suggested. Two independent studies have found that 7SK RNA binds the CDK9/cyclin T complex (known as elongation factor P-TEFb). Lineage: Eukaryota; Metazoa; Chordata; Mammalia; Rodentia; Castoridae. The record is from RNAcentral.